RNAcentral lists this ribosomal RNA (253 nucleotides) under uncultured bacterium. Its description in RNAcentral is "partial 16S ribosomal RNA". It matches the Rfam family "Bacterial small subunit ribosomal RNA", at positions 524 to 776 of the family's 1533-position model. The record is from RNAcentral.
UACGUAGGGGGCAAGCGUUGUCCGGAUUUAUUGGGCGUAAAGGGCGUGUAGGCGGCCGACUAGGUCCGACGUGAAAUCCCCAGGCUUAACCUGGGAACUGCGUCGGAUACUGGAUGGCUUGAAUCCGGGAGAGGGAUGCGGAAUUCCAGGUGUAGCGGUGAAAUGCGUAGAUAUCUGGAGGAACACCGGUGGCGAAGGCGGCAUCCUGGACCGGAAUUGACGCUAAAGCGCGAAAGCCAGGGGAGCAAACGGG